GGCCUUGACAUACUAAGAACUUUCCAGAGAUGGAUUGGUGCCUUCGGGAACUUAGAUACAGGUGCUGCAUGGCUGUCGUCAGCUCGUGUCGUGAGAUGUUGGGUUAAGUCCGCAACGAGCGCAACCCUUUUCCUUAUUUGCCAGCGGGUCAUGCCGGGAACUUUAAGGAUACUGCCAGUGACAAACUGGAGGAAGGCGGGGACGACGUCAAGUCAUCAUGGCCCUUACGGCCAGGGCUACACACGUGCUACAAUGGUCGGUACAAAGGGUUGCUACCUCGCGAGAGGAUGUUAAUCUCAAAAAGCCGAUCGUAGUCCGGAUCGCAGUCUGCAACUCGACUGCGUGAAGUCGGAAUCGCUAGUAAUCGCGGAUCAGAAUGCCGCGGUGAAUACGUUCCCGGGCCUUGUACACACCGCCCGUCACACCAUGGGAGUUUGUUGCACCAGAAGUAGGUAGUCUAACCGCAAGGAGGACGCUUACCACGGUGUGGCCGAUGACUGGGGUGAAGUCGUAACAAGGUAAGCGUAGAUGA
This 532-nucleotide ribosomal RNA is filed under the name uncultured bacterium. RNAcentral describes it as "bacterial SSU rRNA". It matches the Rfam family "Bacterial small subunit ribosomal RNA", at positions 977 to 1509 of the family's 1533-position model. The record is from RNAcentral.